RNAcentral lists this RNase P RNA (326 nucleotides) under Candidatus Pacearchaeota archaeon CG10_big_fil_rev_8_21_14_0_10_34_12. Its description in RNAcentral is "RNase P RNA component". It matches the Rfam family "Archaeal RNase P". From Rfam's summary of the family: Ribonuclease P (RNase P) is a ubiquitous endoribonuclease, found in archaea, bacteria and eukarya as well as chloroplasts and mitochondria. Its best characterised activity is the generation of mature 5'-ends of tRNAs by cleaving the 5'-leader elements of precursor-tRNAs. Lineage: Archaea; Nanobdellati. The record is from RNAcentral.
GUAAGUCAGAGAGCUAACUUCGGGACUGGCUUUUAAUUAAGCAAGUAUCAAAAAUAUGGAUACUGGUUCUGAGGAAGGUCCGCUCAUCCCUUGAAAAAGGAAAAGGCUAUUCAUGAAAAUGAACUGUCGCGAGGCAGGGCAAUGGUACAGAAACGCCACAGCUUUCACAGAGUAAUGAAUCAUGCGACGAACUUUGAAGUGAAAGAUUUGAUGAAACGAGCAUCCUGGCCGGUGCAACUUCAUAAGAAGGCAUAGUUAAAUGUUAGCACAAACGGUUCGGCUUUAAUGCAACGACGUUUGACAGAAAGUGGCCUACUCUGACUUAU